GAUGAACGCUGGCGGCGUGCCUAAUACAUGCAAGUCGAGCGAACGGACGAGAAGCUUGCUUCUCUGAUGUUAGCGUCGGACGGGUGAGUAACACGUGGAUAACCUACCUAUAAGACUGGGAUAACUUCGGGAAACCGGAGCUAAUACCGGUUGAUAUUUUGAACCGCAUGGUUCAUAUGUGAAAGACGGUCUUGCUGCCACUUAUUGAUGGAUCCGCGCUGCAUUAGCUAGUUGGUAAGGUAACGGCUUACCAAGGCAACGAUGCAUAGCCGACCUGAGAGGGGGAUCGGCCACACUGGAACUGAGACACGGUCCAGACUCCUACGGGAGGCAGCAGUAGGGAAUCUUCCGCAAUGGGCGAAAGCCGGACGGAGCAACGCCGCGUGAGUGAUGAAGGUCUUCGGAUCGUAAAACUCUGUUAUUAGGGAAGAACAGAUGUGUAAGUAACUGUGCACAUCUUGACGGUACCUAAUCAGAAAGCCACGGCUAACUACGUG
Molecule: ribosomal RNA, 497 nt
Filed under: uncultured bacterium
Lineage: Bacteria
Description: partial 16S ribosomal RNA
Rfam family: Bacterial small subunit ribosomal RNA
Source: RNAcentral